GGGGGCGAUCUGGAUUCGACUGGAUGGGCGAAGUUGAAGCAGCGUGCCGGGGUUGAUCGGUUGGCCCCGUUAAAAAGCCGAUCAAAAUAAUAACUGCCGAGCAUUCUUAUGCUCUCGCUGCCUAACUAAACGGGCAGUGCCUGUGGCCGGGACGCCGAUAUCGGGAACCACAGGACGCUUUCGGCUGGACGAUUACUAGACCCGCCCGAGCCGCGUGAUCGUCAAGAACAAAUCCGGGCUGGCUGGCAGCGGUUUGUCGAUGUACCGCCGGCGGCGAGAACCAAACACCGACUGCGCACGGAGCGGCUUCCUCUGAACUUAUCGCAGGACGCGGGUUCAAUUCCCGCCGCCUCCACCA
RNAcentral lists this transfer-messenger RNA (358 nucleotides) under Planctomycetota bacterium. It matches the Rfam family "transfer-messenger RNA". Rfam says of the family: Bacterial tmRNA, also known as 10Sa RNA or SsrA, is named for its dual tRNA and mRNA-like properties. Its role is to liberate the mRNA from a stalled ribosome. Lineage: Bacteria; Pseudomonadati; Planctomycetota. The record is from RNAcentral.